UCCAAGAGGUGAGGGUAGCUGCCCCGCUCGGCCCCAGCGAGCUCAGGGAUGGCUCCCUGAGCCAGUGGGCGACCCUUUUCCUUGCACAGAUGCGGACAGGCUGCUGGAGCGAGGCGUGCCUGCGUGGUCCGUCACACAGCCGGCAGAGUGGGAAUGCCUCAGCACCCCUGGGAGCCUGGGUGUAUCUCAUAUGCCAACCAGGGAAAAGUGAAGGGAAGGUCUGUAUGGCCACCAGGUCAGCCUGUGGGGGCAUUUUGAUUUAAUCAUGUCUCAUAUAUGGCCGGGGGUAUCGUAUUUUUCAGCUUUGCUUUUUCCAACAGUUUUAGAUACCUCAUGUGGGGAAAGUAGUAUCUUUUAAAGAAUACAUUCUAUAUUUGGUAGUGAGUGAUUCAAGGCAUGAAUGUGUCUGAAGGAGAAAGGCUUUUCAAGUAGCAUGUUGCUGGUCAAAGGUUUCUCCACAAAUUCUGCUGGGCUGUGCCUCUGAGUCGUGCUGCCCUCUCACCAGCCUGAGCCUUGAGGAAUCAAUUUGGGAACUGCUUGAGACUCUGCAUGAUAUUCUUCGAUGGUCUCUUCCUACUCCAAAAAAAUACAGGUAAAUGUCAGAGAGAAUAGGACAUUCCUGUUCCUUCCUAACAGCUUAGAUGGGUGAGUGGCAAGGCUUGAAAACCAUACAGAAAUGACUGAGAGAGGAGCACCAUCCCACAAGGAAACAGCUACUAAUGUUGCAGAGGUGGUGGGCUUGGAAAAAUUAGUUUUGGUGUUUUAUUAAGUACAGGACAACCUUAAAUAAAAAGGUGGAAAACCAGAUCUAAUUUAUCUUCAGCCAGUACCUUGACAGUAGGACUAACUGACAAAAUGAUGGGAACGGCCUCUAUUAACAUCCAGGCUGAAAAUCUCAAGUUGGCUCUAAUGCCAUGGGGCUGUAAAGAGGCACUUCAUACAUGCAAGCAUGUGCAAAGUGGUCCAAAGCAGAGAGCAUGGUCCAGGCAACAGCAGGAUCUGUGGGGGCUUUGCAGGAUUUCAGGCUCAGGCUUUGAGGUACCCAAGAGGACACUGAGAUGCUGCUGAAUUCAGAGCCUCUCUCACCAUUAAUGCCUCAAGUUGUUCUCCUUCUGCAUAACUACAGGUGCAUGGUACAGGCAGAACCUGGGCUGGUUGAACUUGGGAGCUGUGUUUGCAGCUGGUCUGCUACAUCCAGGAAUGCCAAGCGAUGCUGUGUGGCAGCACUUUGCAAACUGUGAAGGAUUUAGGUGCCAGAGGGGUGUGACACUGGCAGGACACUGGCAGGAGUGUCUCUGGCAGACCAGCAGAGCCGAGGGCCCUACACUGCACUGACAAGGGCAGCAUGUUUCAGACCUCCAGUGAAGUGCAUGAAGAGCCUGGAGCUGGCACGUUCCUGCUGUGGCUGCUGUGCUGCCCAUGAGUUUGCUAGGCCUGCCUUUAUCCCAUCAACAGCUUCUACUGAGUGGGAGCAGACCAGUGGAAUCAAGUGUUUCCCCUGCUAACAGCUGGACCCAGGUACCACAGAUUUCUCUUUGACCUUUCUGUAGUGGAGUUGUUUCAAGCAGAGACCAGUAUUUUUAGAAUUGCUUCCCCAUUUAAAACAGAAAACAUGCUCUCCUAAAAUCCAAUUUCACCACCUAUUAUUUGUCUUCCAUACAGUUACACUUGGAUACCAUCACACUUAUGCAGCAGACUAUACAAAUGCCUUGAUAUUUCACAUGCUCUCAGGUACCAUUUGUGCUCCUCUAAAGGCUUGGAAUCCUGGGCUACGGACAAGACACUUUACACAAAACAUAGCCAAAAGCAAACUCCUGUGUUGUCCAGCAAGCUUGACACCCUGAAUUAAUCUACUUGCAGCUGCUGAAGGGAGCCUUACGUCUCCUCCUCUGCUCCCACCCAUGGAGCUCUGUUGCUCACAGUGUCUAGUUUGACUCAAUAUAGCUUGCAAUAUGGGAAGCAGUAUUUUUGCAGGAUUUGUUUUCUUAUGGCGAUGUCCAUGAGCUAUUAGGUUGGCUCAGCUUCUGGGUAGACCAAACCUACUGCUACAGCCUGCUCCCCCCCUGCAGAAUUUGUGUUCUUGUAGUCACUCAUGUCAGAAUAGGGAGGUGCUUUCUGGAGGAUGAUGACACAAUGCCAGCCAACAGUUUUCUCGAACCACUGCUGGUUUUAUACUAGGCAAGGGCUCCUUUCUCUAUUUGAUGAACUCAAGUCAUGCAACUAUCUCAACUACUAUAUGCUGACUCACUAAACCUCACAGGUCAACUUCCUGUCAGUCCUGCCUGUGGCCCUAUGGAAAGAUGACCCAAUAUUCUUAAGCAAAUGGACCCAUACAGGAUGUAGAAAUUAAGAGUGCAGUAUCUAGGACUGAUAGCUACACUCUUGUUCUUGUCUGGUAAGACUUAAACAAAUUGCAAAUGAAGGCUGAAAUUCAGAAUGAAGUUGAAUUCUACGAAGUUUAAGAAGUCUGAUUCAAAACCUUGUAAUUAUCUUGGGUUUUGUAGUACCAUGUAGAUGUUUAGCACUUAGAAAACAUGGCUUUCCAGAUUCUACUAAAAUUUUAGACAGAUUACUGAAACAGAAGAAGGUACCUCAGAUUCAAAAAGAUAUACCUUUCCUGAAUGGUUAGAUUUUUUCGUGUUCUAGUUAUUUUCUGAGGUAUGAGAUUUACAGAUAAUCCUGCUAGUUGUCCUUCCAGUAAAGGACACGUUUUAAGGUAGAUUGUUGAAUGGAAUCCCUCCUAAUUCUUCAAAGGCAUUUCAGACCUACCCUUUCAAACUAAAGUGACCUGAGCCUGAGUUUUCCUGGCAUUACAUUCUGUCACAGCAGAAUGCAUUCCUGUCCAUCUUGUCCUGUUGCAUUCUAGGCUUCAGCAUGGCAAAACCACCACUCUGCAGAGGAAUGGAGUACCACAACUGUGAAAACUGAACUGGACCACAUACCAACAAUCCUUCAAUAAUGCGUUCCUUUAAAGAAGUGCAGGGUUACCAGUAGAAGGGACCACUAAAGACAGAAAUAACAUGCCAUAGGUCCAAAGUUUCAAAGGACUAUAGAGACAGAAAAGCUAUUUCCAAGUAUAGCAGACACUGCGCGGGAUGGGAGUUGUGCUAGACAGUGCACUUCCUUCUGAAUUUGUACUGUGUCACACAGAGACUGAGCUCCAAGACUUACACCAGUGAGGUACAAGUUACAAUGGACAAAUACAGCAUUGAGCUUACAACUGAAAUACAGGGUAGGUAUUAAGUUUUACAGUUCUUUCCAAGUUGGAUCUGAUUUCAUCUGUCAAAACCUUCUCUCAAGUUUCAUCAGAAGCUGGUAGACAUUGUUUCCUCUCCCACAUUAUAUUGCUACUUACCCCAAAGGCUGCAUCUUAGUUUUGAAACUGCUGCAUUUUGGUAUCUGGUAGAGGUAUUCUUAUUAUUUAUAGAGCAGUAUUACUUUCUCUGUAUCUACACAGCUCAAAUUACAACACACCAUUUUCAGCAAAUUGAUCGAGAAUUAAUUCAUCCCAGGACCUGCAGUUAACCAGGAACAGCCUGGAAGCAGGAGGCAAGGGCUUAAAGAGGCAAGGCUCUUUAAGAGUAAACUGGUCAUGGUUAGUUUAUUUGGAUCACAUCUGGGUACAGUACAUCUGGUGGGCAAUCUCAAAAAAGAGAAAACAAUGUCUCCUCCAAUUGGGCAUAGAGCUCAGGCUCUGGGGAUACUGUCACAGUGCUAACUCUCCAAGAAAGACCAGCACCUACAGGAACUCAGGUGUCCAGUUUUGAUACCAGCAUCUCCCUCAUGUAUCCAGGAUUUUUCUAGCGAGUGUCUUAAUGCUACUAUAUCGAUAAGCAGAAAACCCUACAAAUAAUGUCUUUUUUUUUAAACUUAUUUUUCUUCUCAUGUGUUCUUAAUCUCCACUGGGAAGUGGUAAAUAGACACACGUGAUUUCUAUUACCAGCCAGUUUCUAUUUAACAAUUCUGAGUCUCUUUACACCUCUUUUUCAUAAUAGCAGAUCUUUUUUUACAACUUUCUUGUAAUUUAUCUUGAGUUUUUUGUCUACUUUUUAAAUAGUCUGUUAAUAUUCUGGUUUAGUUCUUUAUAUGAAUUUAGUAAUACCAUAAGAGUGUACCCCUUAAUUUUAGAUACUUGACUAGAAAAAGAUGGUCCUCCACUAGUGUUAAGCCUAAUUACAUCUGAGUUUUAUUGCACUGAAAAACUUUUAUAUAUAAAAUCAAUCCCAUUACUGGUACUUCAAAUCUUUCUGUCUUAAAGCACUGCAGUUAUGUCCCAGGCCUGCAAUCAGAUCCAUGUAGGUAAACUACUCUAUUGACAACAUCCCACUUAAGUCAGACAGCUCUCAACAUGCACCCAGCUGUAGAAGAAAGAACAACUUUCAUAUUUAGAUUAAGUCCUAGACAACACAAUCUUCCUAAAGCAAAAUGCCAUUGACAGUAUUUGGCAAUACCCUGCUAAAUAGCAGGUUUUUAACAUCAUUUUCCCCUUCAAAGCAUAUGAACAGGAAUUAUUUCUCUUACACAUCAGUCUUUAAAGGAACACCUCAGUUACUGAAAGUCUAAAGUAACCACUAAUAGUUCUGGUUCCAGGAUGACAGACUCUCAUAUGUUUCACUAGCAACUUCUGAUAUUGCCAAACAAACUGCAAGUUCUAUACUAGUUGCAGAAGACUUUUUUUUUUUAAAUACUACAAUGGUCAGGUAAUUUUGCAUUUUCAUUUUUUACUGAAAUGUCCUUAUGUAUGUAUACUGAUGCAUUUUUAGAUGUUGUGUAUAUUAGCUUUCACUGGCUAAAAAUUAUUUCUGACACUGUUUAAAAAAACCCUGACUUCUUUUCCAAGUUACUUUUGCUUCUUAUUAAAAUAAAAAAUACAAAUUGCAAAAAAACCUUCUUCCUUAUGGCUGUGUUAUCUAUCUUACCAACAACUGAUUCUAAAGUAGAGUUACAAGUGACUAUGUAAACAAAUACAGACAUUUAACAAACAGAAGUAUUUGGCUGGGGUUUUUUUAACUACC
Corvus hawaiiensis (hawaiian crow) is the source of this 5015-nucleotide long non-coding RNA. RefSeq lists it as uncharacterized. The transcript is spliced from 4 exons. The record is from RefSeq and is a predicted model, not a curated record. NCBI's taxonomy places the organism in Eukaryota, Metazoa, Chordata, Aves, Passeriformes, Corvidae.